RNAcentral lists this long non-coding RNA (217 nucleotides) under Elaeis guineensis (African oil palm). RNAcentral describes it as "long non-coding RNA (EGUI_LNC067262)". Lineage: Eukaryota; Viridiplantae; Streptophyta; Magnoliopsida; Arecales; Arecaceae. The record is from RNAcentral.
GGGAUUUGAAAAACCUGUAAAUGUAUUACUAACGACUUUGCUUUAAAUCAAGAUUCCUUUCAGAUUUGCAUAUCUUUUUCUUUUGGUAUGGACUCAUAACGACAGGGGAUAACCCCUUCAGACAACGAAAAUAAAGCCAUGUUAGGAACAGGAGGAGAACCUUGUCCUAACAUGGGCAAAGUUGAAAGUUCGGUUAUUUUAGAUCGGAUGGGGGGAG